CCUACGGGAGGCAGCAGUGAGGAAUAUUGGUCAAUGGCCGGAAGGCUGAACCAGCCAUGCCGCGUGAAGGUCAGUGCCCUAUGGGCGUUAAACUUCUUUUGUGCGGGAGCAAUAAUGGUCACGUGUGGCCAGACGAGAGUACCGUACGAAUAAGCAUCGGCUAACUCCGUGCCAGCAGCCGCGGUAAUACGGGGGAUGCAAGCGUUAUCCGGAUUUAUUGGGUUUAAGGGGUGCGUGGGCUGUGAGGUAAGUCAGCGGUGAAAUGCCCCCGCUCAACGGGGUGAAGUGCCAUUGAUACUGCCUGGCUGGAAUGCGGAUGCCGUGGGAGGAAUGUGUGGUGUAGCGGUGAAAUGCAUAGAUAUCACACAGAACACCGAUUGCGAAGGCAUCUCACGAAUCCGCGAUUGACGCUGAUGCACGAAAGCGUGGGUAUCAAACAGGAUUAGAUACCCUAGUAGUC
Molecule: ribosomal RNA, 460 nt
Filed under: uncultured bacterium
Lineage: Bacteria
Description: partial 16S ribosomal RNA
Rfam family: Bacterial small subunit ribosomal RNA
Source: RNAcentral